Molecule: long non-coding RNA, 556 nt
Organism: Anolis carolinensis (green anole)
Lineage: Eukaryota; Metazoa; Chordata; Lepidosauria; Squamata; Anolidae
Exons: 3
Source: RefSeq, a predicted model, not a curated record
GCCUUGUUUUGGUAUUCCCCUUUAAGCCUGGCUGAAGAAGCAAAACCAAACGGCGGCUCCAGGGCGAGGCAGGGCGAGGAGAAGGCCAAGCGCAGGCAGGCAUGGCUCUUCUCUCUUCUCUUCGCUCCCUCCCUGCUUCGCGGAAGGCUUCUACUGAACCGGUGUGGUCCCCGCGGGGGGGGGGGGGGGGCGAUCCGAAGACAUCAGAAACAAACGAAAAAAAGCUGCUGGUGGUGCAGGGGGUUAAAAACUGCUGAGCUGCUGAACUUGCUAACUGAAAGGUCAGCAGUUUGUAUCCGGGAAUUCGGGUGAGCCUCUGCUGUUAGCCCCAGCUUCUGCCAACCUAGCAGUUUGAAAAAAUGCAAAUUGUGUCACUCACUCACUCGAAAGCAAAUAAGCUGAAAUUCCACCAUGAAAUAAAUUACAUAAACUUUUCCUCUGAGUAUCAGCCUGGAUCAGGAUUAACAUCAAAAUUACAUCAAAGCAAUCAACAAAUACUCUCAGCAUUCACUAGGGGAGCUGGCAUGGCACAUGAAGCCUAUGGCAAUAUUAUUUC